Molecule: ribosomal RNA, 305 nt
Filed under: uncultured bacterium
Lineage: Bacteria
Description: bacterial SSU rRNA
Rfam family: Bacterial small subunit ribosomal RNA
Source: RNAcentral
UGCCUACGGGGGGCAGCAGUGAGGAAUAUUGGUCAAUGGGCGGAAGCCUGAACCAGCCAAGUCGCGUGAGGGAAUAAGGCCCUACGGGUCGUAAACCUCUUUUGCCGGGGAGCAAGGGCGGGGACGUGUCCCGGCCCGGAGAGUACCCGGAGAAAAAGCAUCGGCUAACUCCGUGCCAGCAGCCGCGGUAAUACGGAGGAUGCGAGCGUUAUCCGGAUUUAUUGGGUUUAAAGGGUGCGUAGGCGGGCUUUUAAGUCAGCGGUAAAAAUUCGGGGCUCAACUCCGUCCGGCCGUUGAAACUGGGG